This is a transfer RNA of Camelus ferus (Wild Bactrian camel), 72 nucleotides long. It matches the Rfam family "tRNA". Rfam says of the family: Transfer RNA (tRNA) molecules are approximately 80 nucleotides in length. Their secondary structure includes four short double-helical elements and three loops (D, anti-codon, and T loops). The record is from Rfam. Lineage: Eukaryota; Metazoa; Chordata; Mammalia; Artiodactyla; Camelidae.
GAGGAUAUAGCUUUGUGGUAGAGUGCAUGCUUAGCAUGCAUGAGGUCCUGGGUUCAAUCCCCAGUACCUCCA